GCCUUCGUGGUGUAGUGGUCAGUACGCUCGGCGCGUAAACGAGAAGUCCUAGGUUCGAAUACCGGCGAGGGCA
Molecule: transfer RNA, 73 nt
Filed under: Stegodyphus mimosarum
Lineage: Eukaryota; Metazoa; Arthropoda; Arachnida; Araneae; Eresidae
Rfam family: tRNA
About the family: Transfer RNA (tRNA) molecules are approximately 80 nucleotides in length.
Source: Rfam by way of RNAcentral